AAUCUAUGUAUCAAACAUUUCCUAAUUAAGUCUUUAAAUCGUUUCCAAGCUUCAUAUAGUGUUUUAUCCUUUGAUUGUCAAAAAGAUGUGAUGUCAUUUCUAAGCUU
Non-coding RNA from Gossypium hirsutum (cotton), 107 nucleotides. NCBI's taxonomy places the organism in Eukaryota, Viridiplantae, Streptophyta, Magnoliopsida, Malvales, Malvaceae. The record is from Rfam.